AAACCAUCAGAACUCGGAAGCUCUAAAAGACCCGUCUUCGGCUUCAUACACAGGUUUCUCUGUGAAGCACCUGGGAGGCGGCAAAGCUGAGCCUCGUGGAGGUGAGGGAGCAGCAGGUGAGGGCGGAGUGGAGAGCCGGUGGGCCAGGCUCCGGCGAGGAGGUCCUGGUAGCAGAGACCUCCGGGAAGGACUACUUUGUGAACCAGAUUACUCUUUGACGCAAUCUGCAAGGCGGACUGGUAUGCAAGCCCUGAACAUUCCAGAACCUUCUUACAGGUGUGGGUGCUAAAUGCUGUCUGCCAUGACUGCGGAGCGGCAGUGCCAGCAGCCGAAGAAGGGAGACGCUGAAAUUAGUAGUCUGACUAAGAGCCAAUGCCCUCUUCUUGUGACGCGUCAAGUGAUGACACUGGUUGGCAGCCCCUUCUUCUGGAGUCUGUAGCCGUUUUUCAGAACGGGCCUGUCAAGCCCUCUGAGAGAACAACCCCUGAAAGUGAUGAACCUGGGUCUUGUUCUGGCUCCAUUGUUUCCUGGGCUGGGUGGCUUUGGCUGAGCUGUUAAACAUUCCUUGGCUUGAAUUUCCUUCAUUGGGAACAAUACCUGUCCUGCCUGCCUCACAGGGUUUCUGGAAGAUCUGAUGAGAUAAUGAACCCAACCUCCAAAAAAAAAAAAAAAAACACCAUAAAGCACUCCUCAAACAGAAGAUUUCUCUACCUGCUGAAACAUGACAUCAUCUUUAGUGUUUAUCCACUACUGAAGAACAUGACCCAAAGUUGCCAAAUUACCAUUCCUGGGGUCUGGAGUCAAAGUGUCGUAAAAACCAAGCAUCUGCUUUUGGAAGGGCCCUUGAGGAACCCCUUUAUUUAUAGAGUUUCAACGUCUUCCCUAACCUUAUCCCAGACUCAGGUCAUUUUACAUCCUACAAUAAUUUUUUUUUUUUUGGGGGGGGGGUGGUAGGAAAUGCUAUUUUGGGAAGAAGUGGCUGCAUCUGUAUUAAAACUGUGCAGAGAGGUCAGCCUUAGUGCAAGAAAAUUUAUUAAGUGUUCUUUUAAUAACAGGAGGCCCCGCCAGAGCGGCUUAGUUGGUUGAGCGCUGUCCUGUGCACCGAAAGGUUGCCGGUUCAAUUCCCAGUCAGGGCACAUGCCUGGGUUGCAGGUUCCAUCCCUGGUUGGGGCACGUAUGGAAGGCAACUGAUCAAUGUUUCUCUCUCCCUCUCUCUUCUCCCUCCAAAAUAAAAAAUAUAUAUAUUU
Eptesicus fuscus (big brown bat) is the source of this 1247-nucleotide long non-coding RNA. RefSeq lists it as uncharacterized. Lineage: Eukaryota; Metazoa; Chordata; Mammalia; Chiroptera; Vespertilionidae. The record is from RefSeq and is a predicted model, not a curated record. The transcript is spliced from 5 exons.